RNAcentral lists this ribosomal RNA (731 nucleotides) under Kluyvera sp. RNAcentral describes it as "bacterial SSU rRNA". It matches the Rfam family "Bacterial small subunit ribosomal RNA", at positions 23 to 745 of the family's 1533-position model. Lineage: Bacteria; Pseudomonadati; Pseudomonadota; Gammaproteobacteria; Enterobacterales; Enterobacteriaceae. The record is from RNAcentral.
CUCAGAUUGAACGCUGGCGGCAGGCCUAACACAUGCAAGUCGAACGGUAGCACAGAGAGCUUGCUCUCGGGUGACGAGUGGCGGACGGGUGAGUAAUGUCUGGGAAACUGCCCGAUGGAGGGGGAUAACUACUGGAAACGGUAGCUAAUACCGCAUAACGUCGCAAGACCAAAGUGGGGGACCUUCGGGCCUCACACCAUCGGAUGUGCCCAGAUGGGAUUAGCUAGUAGGUGGGGUAACGGCUCACCUAGGCGACGAUCCCUAGCUGGUCUGAGAGGAUGACCAGCCACACUGGAACUGAGACACGGUCCAGACUCCUACGGGAGGCAGCAGUGGGGAAUAUUGCACAAUGGGCGCAAGCCUGAUGCAGCCAUGCCGCGUGUAUGAAGAAGGCCUUCGGGUUGUAAAGUACUUUCAGCGAGGAGGAAGGCAUUAAGGUUAAUAACCUUAGUGAUUGACGUUACUCGCAGAAGAAGCACCGGCUAACUCCGUGCCAGCAGCCGCGGUAAUACGGAGGGUGCAAGCGUUAAUCGGAAUUACUGGGCGUAAAGCGCACGCAGGCGGUUUGUUAAGUCAGAUGUGAAAUCCCCGGGCUCAACCUGGGAACUGCAUUUGAAACUGGCAAGCUUGAGUCUCGUAGAGGGGGGUAGAAUUCCAGGUGUAGCGGUGAAAUGCGUAGAGAUCUGGAGGAAUACCGGUGGCGAAGGCGGCCCCCUGGACGAAGACUGACG